ACGGUCCUAAGGUAGCGAAAUUCCUUGUCGGGUAAGUUCCGACCUGCACGAAUGGCAUAACGAUGGCCCCACUGUCUCCUCCCGAGACUCAGUGAAGUUGAAGUGUUUGUGAUGAUGCAAUCUCCCCGCGGCUAGACGGAAAGACCCCAUGAACCUUUACUGUAGCUUUGCAUUGGACUUUGAACCGAUCUGUGUAGGAUAGGCGGGAGCCUGUGAAACCACAACGCCAGUUGUGGCGGAGGCGUCCUUGAAAUACCGCCCUGAUUUGUUUGAGGUUCUAACCUGGGACAGUUAUCCUGUCCGGGGACCGUGCAUGGUAGGCAGUUUGACUGGGGCGGUCUCCUCCUAAAGGGUAACGGAGGAGUGCGAAGGUACGCUAGGUACGGUCGGAAAUCGUGCUGAUAGUGCAAUGGCAAAAGCGUGCUUGACUGCGAGACCCACAAGUCGAGCAGAUACGAAAGUAGGUCAUAGUGAUCCGGUGGCUCUGUAUGGAAGGGCCAUCGCUCAACGGAUAAAAGGUACUCUGGGGAUAACAGGCUGAUACCGCCCAAGAGUUCAUAUCGACGGCGGUGUUUGGCACCUCGAUGUCGGCUCAUCUCAUCCUGGGGCUGUAGCCGGUCCCAAGGGUAUGGCUGUUCGCCAUUUAAAGAGGUACGUGAGCUGGGUUUAAAACGUCGUGAGACAGUUUUGUCCCUAUCUGCCGUGGGCGCUGGAAGAUUGACGGGGGCUGCUCCUAGUACGAGAGGACCGGAGUGGACUCACCUCUGGUGUACCGGUUGUCACGCCAGUGGCAUCGCCGGGUAGCUAUGUGGGGAAGAGAUAACCGCUGAAAGCAUCUAAGCGGGAAACUUGCCUGAAGAUAAGUCUUCCUGGAGGCUAGACCUCCCUAAAGAGUCGUUCGAGACCAGGACGUUGAUAGGAUGGGUGUGUAAGUGCUGUGAGGCACUCAGCUAACCAUUACUAAUUGCUCGUGAAGCUUGAUCCU
RNAcentral lists this ribosomal RNA (985 nucleotides) under human gut metagenome. RNAcentral describes it as "bacterial LSU rRNA". It matches the Rfam family "Bacterial large subunit ribosomal RNA", at positions 1945 to 2925 of the family's 2925-position model. The record is from RNAcentral.